AGUCUUNGAAUGUUAUACUAUCAUCGAGUCGCGACUUCUAGGAGACGCGGUUCUUUGAGACAAAAGUUAUUACAACUUUCAGCAACGGAUCUCUUGGCUCUCGCAUCGAUGAAGAACGCAGCGAAUCGCGAUAUGUAAUGUGAAUUGCAGAUCUACAGUGAAUCAUCGAAUCUUUGAACGCACCUUGCGCUCCUCGGUGUUCCGAGGAGCAUGCCUGUUCGAGUGUCAGUAAAUUCUCAACCCCUCUCGAUUUGUUUCGAGCGGGUGUUUGGAUAGUGGGGGCUGCCGGAGACCUGGAUUUAUUUCAGGACUCGGGCUCUCCUGAAAUGCAUCGGCUUGCGGUUGACUUUCGACUUUGCAUGACAAGGCCUUCGGCGUGAUAAUGAUCGUCGUUAGCUGAAGUGCAUGAAUGAACCGUCCUGCGCCUCUAAUACGUCGACGCUUUCCAGCGUCUUCCUUAUUGACGUUUGACCUCGAAUCAGGUAGGACUACCCGCUGAACUUAAGCAUAUCAAUAAGCGGAGGAAAAGAAACUAACAAGGAUUCCCCUAGUAACUGCGAGUGAACCGGGAAGAGCUCAAAUUUUGAAUC
RNAcentral lists this ribosomal RNA (590 nucleotides) under uncultured Suillus. RNAcentral describes it as "eukaryotic LSU rRNA". The stretch from base 74 to 228 matches the Rfam family "5.8S ribosomal RNA". Lineage: Eukaryota; Fungi; Basidiomycota; Agaricomycetes; Boletales; Suillaceae. The record is from RNAcentral.